AUACGGAGGAUCCGAGCGUUAUCCGGAUUUAUUGGGUUUAAAGGGAGCGUAGGUGGGAUAUUAAGUCAGCUGUGAAAGUUUGGGGCUCAACCUUAAAAUUGCAGUUGAUACUGGUUUCCUUGAGUACGGUACAGGUGGGCGGAAUUCGUGGUGUAGCGGUGAAAUGCUUAGAUAUCACGAAGAACUCCGAUCGCGAAGGCAGCUCACCGGGCCGGAACUGACGCUGAUGCUCGAAAGUGCGGGUAUCAAACAGGAUUAGAUACCCUGGUAGUCCGCACAGUAAACGAUGAAUACUCGCUGUUUGCGAUACACGGUAAGCGGCCAAGCGAAAGCGUUAAGUAUUCCACCUGGGGAGUACGCCGGCAACGGUGAAACUCAAAGGAAUUGACGGGG
This 393-nucleotide ribosomal RNA is filed under the name uncultured bacterium. RNAcentral describes it as "partial 16S ribosomal RNA". It matches the Rfam family "Bacterial small subunit ribosomal RNA", at positions 523 to 918 of the family's 1533-position model. The record is from RNAcentral.